CACUAUUGAGAAGAUGGUAGAGAAGAUUCUUGCUGGUUGUUCACAGUCGCACACACAUCUGGUCUCUAUGGAAAAUCCACUCGAAGUUCCGAUUUGAUCAGUCUUCUCAGAAGUGUUAGCUCGCGCGAAAAUCUUCUUCUUAGCUGAACUGGAUUCUUUCUUCAAAUCUCUGAAAUCUUUUCAGAAGUUGAAGAUAAACUUCUAGAGGAGAUGAAGAGGUGAAAGAAAGAUAAAGAAAAAAUAUUUUUUUUCUAAUUUAUUCUUUCUUCCCAAACCCUUAGAACCAAAAAUUUAAUAUUCAAGUUUUUGCGCACACCCUAAGAGAGAGGAUCCUCUUCUCUAUUUUUUACAUCAUGAACCAUGCCCAAACUUCUUUCAUAUGAAGACCUCUCUUCUGAUAUCUUACAUACACAAAAGAAACCACAAAAUUCUCUUUUAUAUGCAUGUAAGGAGGUGGGAUGAAGAGUCCUAGUGAUCCUGGACUCUUACAGGAUUCCACCUCCCUUCAUAAUUCUAUAUCUCAAAACAUGCCAAAAAAAUAUGGGAUGCCCCUUCUCAUAUUUUUUCAUGAUAAAUCAGUUCUCCAACAGAUCUCUCACAAAAAAUCUCCUCAAAAUAUCACACAUAUAAGGAGAAAAAUAUUUAUUGGUGUGGAGAGGUUGAUCUGGAUGAGAAUAGAUUCUCCUGAUAAGGAAUAUUUUGAAAUUCAAUUUUAGAAUCUUCUUUUUAUCAAAACC
RNAcentral lists this long non-coding RNA (737 nucleotides) under Elaeis guineensis (African oil palm). RNAcentral's name for it is "long non-coding RNA (EGUI_LNC028160)". The record is from RNAcentral. Lineage: Eukaryota; Viridiplantae; Streptophyta; Magnoliopsida; Arecales; Arecaceae.